UUCCUGAAAAUGAACAUGGAAGCCGGGCACGCCGGUUCAGCCGCACGAUUCGAGCGCAUGAAGGAGCGAACGCACGACUAUGCAUUCGCACUCAGUAUAUUCGGCCUGACGGAGCGUGCGCCCGUCAGCCAUACCCGCGAGGGCCGCUGAAAAGCCCUACAGAUAGGGAGUUUCGUCGACGUCGAACUCGGCUUCGGCGCUGGCGCUUGCCGGCAGCUUGGCCAUCGCCACCUUCAGCAUCUCGACGUGUUCCAUCUCCUCGUCGCGGAGCUCCGUAAACAAUUUUAUGACAUCGGGGUC
RNAcentral lists this ribosomal RNA (300 nucleotides) under uncultured eukaryote. Its description in RNAcentral is "partial small subunit ribosomal RNA". The record is from RNAcentral.